UGGGGGAUAUUGCUCAAUGGGGGAAACCCUGAAGCAGCAACGCCGCGUGAAGGAAGAAGGUCUUCGGAUUGUAAACUUUUGUCUUCUGGGAAGAUAAUGACGGUACCAGAGGAGGAAGCCACGGCUAACUACGUGCCAGCAGCCGCGGUAAUACGUAGGUGGCAAGCGUUGUCCGGAAUUACUGGGUGUAAAGGGUGCGUAGGCGGGUGCGCAAGUCAGAUGUGAAAUCCCGGGGCUUAACCCCGGAACUGCAUUUGAAACUGUGCGUCUUGAGUGGAGGAGAGGUAAGUGGAAUUCCCAGUGUAGCGGUGAAAUGCGUAGAUAUUGGGAGGAACACCAGUGGCGAAGGCGACUGACUGGACUCUAACUGACGCUGAGGCACGAAAGCGUGGGGAGCAAACA
RNAcentral lists this ribosomal RNA (402 nucleotides) under uncultured bacterium. Its description in RNAcentral is "bacterial SSU rRNA". It matches the Rfam family "Bacterial small subunit ribosomal RNA", at positions 355 to 774 of the family's 1533-position model. The record is from RNAcentral.